AGGGGAUUGCCUAGUACGGCGAGUGAAGCGGCAACAGCUCAAAUUUGAAAGCUAGCCUUCGGGUUCGCAUUGUAAUUUGUAGAGGAUGAUUUGGGGAAGCCGCCUGUCUAAGUUCCUUGGAACAGGACGUCAUAGAGGGUGAGAAUCCCGUAUGUGACAGGAAAUGGCACCCUAUGUAAAUCUCCUUCGACGAGUCGAGUUGUUUGGGAAUGCAGCUCUAAAUGGGAGGUAAAUUUCUUCUAAAGCUAAAUAUUGGCGAGAGACCGAUAGCGCACAAGUAGAGUGAUCGAAAGAUGAAAAGCACUUUGGAAAGAGAGUUAAAAAGCACGUGAAAUUGUUGAAAGGGAAGCGCUUGCAAUCAGACUUGUUUAAACUGUUCGGCCGGUCUUCUGACCGGUUUACUCAGUUUGGACAGGCCAGCAUCAGUUUCGGCGGCCGGAUAAAGGCUCUGGGAAUGUGGCCUCCACUUCGGUGGAGGUGUUAUAGCCCAGGGUGUAAUACGGCCAGCCGGGACUGAGGUCCGCGCUUCGGCUAGGAUGCUGGCGUAAUGGUUGUAAGCGACCCGUCUUGAAACACGGACCAAA
This 584-nucleotide ribosomal RNA is filed under the name Aureobasidium pullulans. RNAcentral describes it as "partial large subunit ribosomal RNA". It matches the Rfam family "Eukaryotic large subunit ribosomal RNA", at positions 69 to 670 of the family's 3401-position model. The record is from RNAcentral. Lineage: Eukaryota; Fungi; Ascomycota; Dothideomycetes; Dothideales; Saccotheciaceae.